CGGCCAGACUCCUACGGGAGGCAGCAGUGGGGAAUAUUGCACAAUGGGGGAAACCCUGAUGCAGCGACGCCGCGUGAGUGAAGAAGUAUUUCGGUAUGUAAAGCUCUAUCAGCAGGGAAGAAGUUGACGGUACCUGAGUAAGAAGCCCCGGCUAACUACGUGCCAGCAGCCGCGGGAAUACGUAGGGGGCAAGCGUUAUCCGGAUUUACUGGGUGUAAAGGGAGCGUAGACGGCAGUGCAAGUCUGAAGUGAAAGCCCCGGGCUUAACCCGGGAAUUGCUUUGGAAACUGUACGGCUGGAGUGCUGGAGAGGUAAGCGGAAUUCCUAGUGUAGCGGUGAAAUGCGUAGAUAUUAGGAGGAACACCAGUGGCGAAGGCGGCUUACUGGACAGUAACUGACGUUGAGGCUCGAAAGCGUGGGGAGCAAACAGGAUUAGAUACCCGAGUA
This 447-nucleotide ribosomal RNA is filed under the name uncultured bacterium. RNAcentral's name for it is "bacterial SSU rRNA". It matches the Rfam family "Bacterial small subunit ribosomal RNA", at positions 328 to 792 of the family's 1533-position model. The record is from RNAcentral.